AGAUGCUGAGAUCCAUUGUCCACCCUGGCUCCUGCUCUGAAUUGACAUCAGUUUGCAACUAGCAGUUUCAUAAAUCAAGAAAAAGAAGAAAGGUAAAUUAAUGACUGUGUUAACUAGAGGGGCUCUGAAUUUCUGCUUUACAUGUACUCAUUUUGAAUUUCACUUUUAUUAUAAUGAACUUGCAAACACAGCAUUGCAAUAGUAUAUGCACCUCCCAAAGAUGCUGGGAAAUAGCUGAUAUUUCAUCAUUUGAGGACAGUUUGUGCCUGCAAGUGGCAGAGGUGCAGGAGGAGACAAAUAAAAGGGAUGCCUACAUCCUAUUUCCAUGAAUUUCUGUCCUCUGAGCUGAAAGACAAUUUACAAGUUGGCUGAUAAGACCUUGAAGAAAGAAGAUAUUUUAAAACUUUAAUUGAAAAUCCCCAUUCCUUCUCAUUGAAGAAGCAAAAGAAGAAACUAUAAUGAUGGACACUCUGGUGCUAGUAUCAGUCAUUUUGAUCACAAGACGUGGACCAGCCCACCUUGGAGCUCACUGUGGUGGUGGCCUGGUCCUAAUGCAAGUCCUAAUGGAGCUCUUGGAACUGGCUGUAGCCUUUGCUGAGCAGGAGCAACUAUGUCUCUGGUUCUUAAGGAUUGAAAAGGUACGUUGAAGAUGGAGAACAACUGAUGUCAAGACACAUU
Molecule: long non-coding RNA, 678 nt
Filed under: Homo sapiens (human)
Lineage: Eukaryota; Metazoa; Chordata; Mammalia; Primates; Hominidae
Description: HSALNT0327677
Source: RNAcentral